GCGGCGGGGUAUGAAGACACUGAGGUCCACGAAACUGCAGGCCUGAUGAGGUCCAGCUCAACGAGACAGGUGGCGCAUCACAGGCCCGCACAGGGGACCUCUGCCCACCCCUGCAGGGAGACGUGCCUUGCCACACCACAACCAGCCACAGGCCCUCUGCUCAGCAGCCGCCACACCGUGCAGUGACUGGCUUUGCUCCCUCACACCCCUCCACCAUGAGCUUCCUGGAGCAGCUGACCACAGACCGAAG
Molecule: long non-coding RNA, 250 nt
Organism: Fukomys damarensis (Damara mole-rat)
Lineage: Eukaryota; Metazoa; Chordata; Mammalia; Rodentia; Bathyergidae
Exons: 3
Source: RefSeq, a predicted model, not a curated record